GGCCCCUCCCUGGGCAAGGCGACAGCCCCACAACCGGCCCGACGUCGCGCCCCCGCCACUGAGGGCCUCGCGGAGCCGCCGUGGUGGGCCCAGCCCGGCCUCAGGAGGGCCCCUCAGGCUCCCAGCCCCCACGGGCGAGAGGGGCCGAGGCCCGGCCCGGCCUGGGGGAGAGGCCGCCUCGGGCUUGCAACGGACUCACCCUCCCCCCGUCGGGCUCGACCCACGCGACGCCAUCUUGUUUGUGCCGGUUGCCCCGGUUACGACCGGGCGAGACGAUUGGCUCCGCGAAGGUCCCGUGGCUCGACCCCGUCUGAAAAGACUACGAGUCCCAGCAUGCAACGCUCGGGGUUCUGCACCCUCCCCCGCAUCCUCAGAAAGAUCUUCCAUUGAAGCUAUGCCAACAAUUGACAACAGCUAAGGAUCUGGCCUGCUGAAUUUGAAAUAUAUGCUGAAAAUUACCACACGCUUCUUUCACGGUCUGCUAGCCUCCAUCGACAAACUUUCAUUUCUACUCUUCUGCUUACCGAAACCGGCAAGAAAGAUGUAAAACAGCUAAGCAGAAGCUUCAGCAUUUUCUGUUUCUUUCAAAUAUUAUAUGAUGCCCCUUCCCGUGGUAUCUGUGGCUCAGUACAACAGUCCAAAUUCAUGAGGGUUUGGCAUAUCGGCAGGAGAGUCAACCCAAGCCCUCCAGAUGCCAAAAGCCUCUUAACCACCCCCCUGAUAAGCACCAUCACCACGCUCCCCAGGAACAAACCCAACCAGCUGCCACUGGCCUCUCCAAAUCCAGAUGUGCAGGCAAAAUUAAAGCUUCUGUUUCUGUUCUGGUGGGGGCAGAAGAGGACACUUCCUUGCACAAGUUGCAUCUCACUCACAGAGGUUUAACAUGAAGACUGUCCUGCUCAUCACUGCUCUUCUCCUGAUGAAUUUGAUGACUGUAAUCUGUGACGGUUCGACUAAAACGACAACCUCGCCAGUUAACGCCCAACAUAGCCUGGGCACACCCUGCUGCGUCCCAGCUUCUCUUUUGCUGGCGUUUGCCUUGGCAGCAAUUUACCUCCUCCGAGCAAAAUGAGCUCCCGCACUUCACUCCUCAGAGAGAUGCCAACGCUGCCUUCUGCCUGCCACCAUCUCAGCCUCUCCUGCUGGGCACCCCGCUGCAGCCUGCCAAUCCGCGGAACCCAGCUAGCAUAACCGCUCCAGUUGACGUCUUCCCGCAACACACCCACCGCGCCCUUCUCUUCGCCGCCAUCGGUUUCUUUCCUCGUUUCCCAUCAGAGCCAUUCAUUCCACCAACUGCGACGGAAUCCCGGCAGCAGAGUCCAGCUUCGCACGGAGAUUCCCAUUAGGAUCACAUUGGAGAGGCAGAUGCAUGUCUCACCGCAACACCCGAGGAGCCUUGCCAUUGAUUGAGCAGCUCCUGUGCAGAAUGGGCCUCCCCAAGGAAAAGAGACCAAGAUUGCAGCAAAGGGUGUAUUUUGUUGCAUGCUUGUGUAUGUAUUGCACUAAUCUGAAGUUCCCCAGGCCUAGCCAUUGGAAGACAGAUCCCCAUUCCAUGAAAACAAGUUCUGAUGCUUUGAGAAAUUAAUGUGAAUAUAAAUUCUUUGGGGUCUUUCUGAUCCCUACCGAGUGGCAGCCAGCUCAACCUAAUAAAAUGAAAGACAAACUUCCUUA
Long non-coding RNA from Mauremys mutica (yellowpond turtle), 1671 nucleotides. RefSeq lists it as uncharacterized. NCBI's taxonomy places the organism in Eukaryota, Metazoa, Chordata, Testudines, Geoemydidae. The record is from RefSeq and is a predicted model, not a curated record. The transcript is spliced from 6 exons.